This 106-nucleotide ribosomal RNA is filed under the name Meriones unguiculatus (Mongolian gerbil). The record is from RNAcentral. Lineage: Eukaryota; Metazoa; Chordata; Mammalia; Rodentia; Muridae.
GCUAUGGCAAUACCACCCUGAAUGAACCCAGUCUCAUCUGAUCUUGGAAACUAACCAGGGUCGGGCCUGGUUACUACGUGGAUGGGAGAAAGUAGGCUGAAAAGCA